GACGAACGCUGGCGGCGUGCUUAACACAUGCAAGUCGAACGGAAAGGCCCUGCUUUUGUGGGGUGCUCGAGUGGCGAACGGGUGAGUAACACGUGAGUAACCUGCCCUUGACUUUGGGAUAACUUCAGGAAACUGGGGCUAAUACCGGAUAGGAGCUCCUGCUGCAUGGUGGGGGUUGGAAAGUUUCGGCGGUUGGGGAUGGACUCGCGGCUUAUCAGCUUGUUGGUGGGGUAGUGGCUUACCAAGGGUUUGACGGGUAGCCGGCCUGAGAGGGUGACCGGCCACAUUGGGACUGAGAUACGGCCCAGACUCCUACGGGAGGCAGCAGUGGGGAAUAUUGCACAAUGGGCGGAAGCCUGAUGCAGCAACGCCGCGUGCGGGAUGACGGCCUUCGGGUUGUAAACCGCUUUCGCCUGUGACGAAGCGUGAGUGACAGUAAUGGGUAAAGAAGCACCGGCUAACUACGUG
Molecule: ribosomal RNA, 468 nt
Filed under: uncultured bacterium
Lineage: Bacteria
Description: partial 16S ribosomal RNA
Rfam family: Bacterial small subunit ribosomal RNA
Source: RNAcentral